This 27-nucleotide small RNA is filed under the name Bombyx mori (domestic silkworm). Its description in RNAcentral is "ovarian small RNA-25454". The record is from RNAcentral. Lineage: Eukaryota; Metazoa; Arthropoda; Insecta; Lepidoptera; Bombycidae.
UCACUGGUAACACACAUUGGUUGUACA